RNAcentral lists this ribosomal RNA (231 nucleotides) under uncultured bacterium. Its description in RNAcentral is "partial 16S ribosomal RNA". It matches the Rfam family "Bacterial small subunit ribosomal RNA", at positions 15 to 235 of the family's 1533-position model. The record is from RNAcentral.
GAUCAUGGCUCAGGAUGAACGCUAGCUACAGGCUUAACACAUGCAAGUCGAGGGGAAACGACAUCGAAAGCUUGCUUUUGAUGGGCGUCGACCGGCGCACGGGUGAGUAACGCGUAUCCAACCUGCCCAUCACUUGGGAAUAACCUUGCGAAAGUAAGACUAAUGCCCAAUGAUAUCCCACGAAGGCAUCCGAAUGGGAUUAAAGAUUCAUCGCUGAUAGAUAGGCAUGCG